GGUUAAGCGACUAAGCGUACACGGUGGAUGCCCUGGCAGUCAGAGGCGAUGAAGGACGUGCUAAUCUGCGAUAAGCGUCGGUAAGGUGAUAUGAACCGUUAUAACCGGCGAUUUCCGAAUGGGGAAACCCAGUGUGAUUCGUCACACUAUCAUUAACUGAAUCCAUAGGUUAAUGAGGCGAACCGGGGGAACUGAAACAUCUAAGUACCCCGAGGAAAAGAAAUCAACCGAGAUUCCCCCAGUAGCGGCGAGCGAACGGGGAGGAGCCCAGAGCCUGAAUCAGUGUGUGUGUUAGUGGAAGCGUCUGGAAAGGCGCGCGAUACAGGGUGACAGCCCCGUACACAAAAAUGCACAUACUGUGAGCUCGAUGAGUAGGGCGGGACACGUGGUAUCCUGUCUGAAUAUGGGGGGACCAUCCUCCAAGGCUAAAUACUCCUGACUGACCGAUAGUGAACCAGUACCGUGAGGGAAAGGCGAAAAGAACCCCGGCGAGGGGAGUGAAAAAGAACCUGAAACCGUGUACGUACAAGCAGUGGGAGCACGCUUCGGCGUGUGACUGCGUACCUUUUGUAUAAUGGGUCAGCGACUUAUAUUCUGUAGCAAGGUUAACCGAAUAGGGGAGCCGAAGGGAAACCGAGUCUUAACUGGGCGUUAAGUUGCAGGGUAUAGACCCGAAACCCGGUGAUCUAGCCAUGGGCAGGUUGAAGGUUGGGUAACACUAACUGGAGGACCGAACCGACUAAUGUUGAAAAAUUAGCGGAUGACUUGUGGCUGGGGGUGAAAGGCCAAUCAAACCGGGAGAUAGCUGGUUCUCCCCGAAAGCUAUUUAGGUAGCGCCUCGUGAAUUCAUCUCCGGGGGUAGAGCACUGUUUCGGCAAGGGGGUCAUCCCGACUUACCAACCCGAUGCAAACU
RNAcentral lists this ribosomal RNA (913 nucleotides) under Escherichia coli. RNAcentral describes it as "partial 23S ribosomal RNA". It matches the Rfam family "Bacterial large subunit ribosomal RNA", at positions 1 to 955 of the family's 2925-position model. The record is from RNAcentral. Lineage: Bacteria; Pseudomonadati; Pseudomonadota; Gammaproteobacteria; Enterobacterales; Enterobacteriaceae.